Molecule: non-coding RNA, 167 nt
Filed under: human gut metagenome
Description: Lysine riboswitch
Rfam family: Lysine riboswitch aptamer
About the family: Riboswitches are metabolite binding domains within certain messenger RNAs that serve as precision sensors for their corresponding targets. Allosteric rearrangement of mRNA structure is mediated by ligand binding, and this results in modulation of gene expression.
Source: RNAcentral
AAAAGUAGAGGUUGCGUGAAUUAUGAGUAACAGGCCGGAUGCAGCAGGUGCAGAUGAAGGCUUGUGAAAGGGAGGAGCGCCGAAGAGGAGUAUCACCUGACAGUACGAAUCUGGGCAUAGGGCUAAGAACCGUAUGACUGUCAUCCUUGCGGAUGGGGAGCUACUUA